UUUUUUUUUUUUUUUUUUAAAGUGAAUAGUUAAAGGCUUAACUGUUUUAAUUCCCAUACAUUUAAUUACAAUAUUCAGUAAAUUUAAUAAUUAAUUAAAACAGUUGUUUUGAAGGAUAUCAAUUGCAUCUCUACUUGUUAAUUGACUAUUGACUGCAACCACUUCAAUCUAAACCUACCCCAUUACUUAGAGUUACACUAAGUAUAUGAAUAUACCAAUUGAAUUGACUAUAAUGAGCAGGUGAGGACCAGCAGAAAAGUAGGGCUCCUACACAUAAACUUAAGUUUUAUAGGUUGAAGAAGGCAAUGGCGUGAGAAGAAAACCAAAUCCUUCUCUACCUAUAAAACGUUUUGAGUGAAAGAAAUGAAAUGCUUCUCUUAUUUUAAGAUACUAUCUUAGUGCCCUAAAAAUAUCCAUGCAUGAAUUCAUACUGAUAAUUUGAUUCACGUAAAUACAAGUCACAUGACUUACAUUAUGUCAUAAUAAAUAAUUUUUUAAAUUUUUUGAGAAACAAACAGGAAGAUAUGAUUUAUUAAAUAAAAUAUAUAAUUUAAAUAGCUAAUGGUUAUAUAUAUAUAUAUGAUAAUGUAAUCUUGUUUUAAUAAGCGUAUAAUGACAUGAAAUCAAAAUUUUAGGGAUUUUAAAUGUAUUUGCCAAGUCCAUGAAUUAUAUUAAUAGUAAAUGCAAAAAUUUUUAAAAGAUGAGAGAGGUAUGCACGUGUCAGGUUUGUAGCGCCAGUUAUUCAUACAGCUGCUGUGACUAAAGCAAAGCACAAAGAGAGAGAGAGAGA
This 790-nucleotide unclassified non-coding RNA is filed under the name Hevea brasiliensis (rubber tree). The record is from RNAcentral. Lineage: Eukaryota; Viridiplantae; Streptophyta; Magnoliopsida; Malpighiales; Euphorbiaceae.